CCUACGGGUGGCAGCAGUGGGGAAUAUUGCACAAUGGGCGAAACUCUGAUCCAGCCACGCCGCGUGAGUGAAGAAGUCAUUAGUUAUUUAAAGCUCUUUUUGCACGGGAGAAAAUGCCGGUACCUGAGUAAGACUCCCAGGCUAACUCCGUGCCAGCAGGCGCGGUACUACGUAGGCGGCAAGCGUUAUCCGGAUUUAUUGGGUGUAAAGGGAGCGUAGACGGCAGUGCAAGUCUGUAGUGAAAGGCCGGGGCUCAACCCCCGGACUGCUCUGGAAACUGUACGGCUGGAGUGCAGGAGAGGUAAGUGGAAUUCGUAGUGUAGCGGUGAAAUGCGUAGAUAUAAGAAGGAACACCGGUGGCGAAGGCAGCUUACCGGACUGUAUCUGACGUUGAGGCACGAAAGCGUGGGGAGCAAACAGGAUUAGAUACCCUAGUAGUC
RNAcentral lists this ribosomal RNA (440 nucleotides) under uncultured bacterium. RNAcentral's name for it is "partial 16S ribosomal RNA". It matches the Rfam family "Bacterial small subunit ribosomal RNA", at positions 338 to 795 of the family's 1533-position model. The record is from RNAcentral.